AUUGAACGCUGGCGGCAUGCCUUACACAUGCAAGUCGAACGGCAGCGGACCUUCGGGUGCCGGCGAGUGGCGAACGGGUGAGUAAUAUAUCGGGAACGUACCUUUCAGUGGGGGAUAACGUAGCGAAAGUUAACGCUAAUACCGCAUAUUCUGUGAGCAGGAAAGCAGGGGAUCGCAAGACCUUGCGCUGAUUGAGCGGCCGAUAUCAGAUUAGCUAGUUGGUGAGGUAAAGGACUCACCAAGGCGACGAUCUGUAGCGGGUCUGAGAGGAUGAUCCGCCACACUGGAACUGAGACACGGUCCAGACUCCUACGGGAGGCAGCAGUGGGGAAUUUUGGUACAAUGGGCGGCAAGCCUGAUCCAGCCAUGCCGCGUGAGUGAAGAAGGCCUC
This 391-nucleotide ribosomal RNA is filed under the name uncultured bacterium. RNAcentral describes it as "bacterial SSU rRNA". It matches the Rfam family "Bacterial small subunit ribosomal RNA", at positions 30 to 418 of the family's 1533-position model. The record is from RNAcentral.